Molecule: long non-coding RNA, 737 nt
Organism: Daphnia pulex (common water flea)
Lineage: Eukaryota; Metazoa; Arthropoda; Branchiopoda; Diplostraca; Daphniidae
Exons: 5
Source: RefSeq, a predicted model, not a curated record
AUGCAUAGGCCUACUGUCAGUCAUUCCAACAAGUUGACUUAGCGCUCAGUCAAUUUCCAUCCAUUAGGCCCAUCAUGCUGUCAAAGGCCUAAAACUCAUGUUUAAAGAUGAAGACCACAUGUAGUGGAAUACAAAUCUGCCGAGAUAAGGAUAUUUUCUGAAUCUUUCAAUUUUGGUGGCGUACCCUGCCAGGCUGCCACAGCAUGUUUGUUGUUAUGUAUGUGUUUACUUCUGUUUUUAGAAGACAACCCAGCUAAGAGAUAGUUUCAGAGACAUGAAGCGUGUGAAGUGAAUAACCUGCCAUGUGUAUGAACAUGUACCAGAUCUGCUUGAUGAAAGUCAAAUGCCUACUAAAUUCAUCGCCCAUAUGAUAAGCACCAGGAAAUUUAUCUCAACAUGUGGAGUAAUGCUGUUGAUUGAUGUGAAUUCAAUUUUUACGGUUUUUUCAUCAUGAGCAUUUCAGUGUGCUUAUUAGAUCAGAACACGCAGUUUCUUAAUGGAAUCGUGUGGUCCUGGCACGGAGAUUCUUGUGCCAAUGCUGAUCUUUGUCCAUGAUGGAAGAGAGACUUCCAACAACAUUCUUCUCCAUCCUUAUCUUCAGGACGCACGCUCAUCUAGCUUCACUGCUUUUAAACACAAUUUGUUUUACUUCACUGGCGACUUGGCGAGUUUCUGGACCACUUCGCUACCCUCUGCUGUUCCAAACCUGCAGUCACUCACCACCUGAUUAUGCCUAG